ACUAAAUAGAUACCCGGUAGUCCACGCCCUAAACGAUGUCUACUAGUUGUUGGUGGAGUAAAUCCAUGAGUAAACGCAAGCUAAACGCGUGAAGUAGACCGCCUGGGGAGUACGGUCGCAAGAUUAAAACUACAAAGGAAUUGACGGGGGCCCGGCACAAGCGGUGGAUUAUGUGGAUUAAUUCGAUGCAACGCGAAAAACCUUACCUGGCCUUGACAUGCCACUAACGAAGCAGAGAUGCAUUAGGUGCCCGUAAGGGAAAGUGGACACAGGUGCUGCAUGGCUGUCGUCAGCUCGUGUCGUGAGAUGUUGGGUUAAGUCCCGCAACGAGCGCAACCCUUGCCAUUAAUUGCCAUCAUUUAGUUGGGC
This 369-nucleotide ribosomal RNA is filed under the name uncultured bacterium. RNAcentral describes it as "bacterial SSU rRNA". It matches the Rfam family "Bacterial small subunit ribosomal RNA", at positions 772 to 1136 of the family's 1533-position model. The record is from RNAcentral.